GUGUUCUCUUCGGCAGCACAUAUACUAAAAUUGGAAAGAUACAGAGAAGAUUAGCAUGGCCCCUGCUCAAGGAUGAUACGCAAAUUCGUGAAACGUUCCAUAUUUUU
RNAcentral lists this small nuclear RNA (107 nucleotides) under Dipodomys ordii (Ord's kangaroo rat). The record is from RNAcentral. Lineage: Eukaryota; Metazoa; Chordata; Mammalia; Rodentia; Heteromyidae.